This 730-nucleotide ribosomal RNA is filed under the name Streptomyces sp. SG1-3/17b. RNAcentral describes it as "bacterial SSU rRNA". It matches the Rfam family "Bacterial small subunit ribosomal RNA", at positions 28 to 766 of the family's 1533-position model. Lineage: Bacteria; Bacillati; Actinomycetota; Actinomycetes; Kitasatosporales; Streptomycetaceae. The record is from RNAcentral.
GACGAACGCUGGCGGCGUGCUUAACACAUGCAAGUCGAACGAUGAAGCCCUUCGGGGUGGAUUAGUGGCGAACGGGUGAGUAACACGUGGGCAAUCUGCCCUUCACUCUGGGACAAGCCCUGGAAACGGGGUCUAAUACCGGAUAACACUCUGUCCCUCAUGGGGCGGGGUUAAAAGCUCCGGCGGUGAAGGAUGAGCCCGCGGGCCUAUCAGCUUGUUGGUGGGGGUAAUGGCCUACCAAGGCGACGACGGGUAGCCGGCCUGAGAGGGCGACCGGCCACACUGGGGACUUGAGACACGGCCCAGAACUCCUACGGGAAGGCAGCAGUGGGGGAAUAUUUGCACAAUUGGGCGAAAGCCUGAUGCAGCGACGCCGCGUGAGGGAUGACGGCCUUCGGGUUGUAAACCUCUUUCAGCAGGGAAGAAGCGCAAGUGACGGUACCUGCAGAAGAAGCACCGGCUAACUACGUGCCAGCAGCCGCGGUAAUACGUAGGGUGCGAGCGUUGUCCGGAAUUAUUGGGCGUAAAGAGCUCGUAGGCGGCUUGUCACGUCGGAUGUGAAAGCUCGGGGCUUAACCCCGAGUCUGCAUUCGAUACGGGCUAGCUAGAGUGUGGUAGGGGAGAUCGGAAUUCCUGGUGUAGCGGUGAAAUGCGCAGAUAUCAGGAGGAACACCGGUGGCGAAGGCGGAUCUCUGGGCCAUUACUGACGCUGAGGAGCGAAAGCGUGGGA